AGAUGUAAUUUAUUCAGUGGGGAAGGACAACCCCCUAGCUGUCCAAUGGCUCCUGGAGCCAGAGAGAUGGCACCCAGCAUGCUGCAGUCUAGCCUCUCCCACUGACCACCUGAGCCUGCUGAAGCUGGCUUAUAUAAGGCUUUGGAAAGAGAAAGGGCUUUGGUGACUCUCUGGAAAUCAGGAAAAACUGUUCCAAGAUGUGUGUUAGAGAAGGUCAGGAUCUCGUGUUUAAUAAGCAGUUUUAGGCCUGACUUCUCUAAGGACAGUGUGUAUGGGCCUGUUUUCCCCCAGUACAUAGGGUCAGAGUCCUGCCAGCAAUAGCCAAAACAUGGUAGAAUCAGUCAAGAGAUCUAACAAAAGUGCUCUUGGAGGAAGAACUUCAGAGAAAGAAGCAAAUUUUAUGCUGAGAAAUCAUGAUUCCACACUCUGGAGUGAGAACUCUAGAUAGUUUACUCUGUGGUCACUUACUCGUAUUUCUACAUAGAUGGAAGGUCUCGGCCCUGGAGUUCUGGUCUACCUUUCUGCUCCUUUUUCUCCAAGGAACAGACCAGCUUCCGCAGGAAUGAACCCAGAAAACAGUCUACAACUAUAUUUCCAGCACAGGGGCUGGCACACACUGAGUGCUGAACUGAACUGAACAGAUGCUGUAAGCAAGAAAGAGUCAAAUUUUGCAAGAUUUUACUGAGGAGGAAGGCACUACCUCAAAGCCAGUGUUUUCUGGGGGGCAAUUCCUACAUUCCAGGCCCGCUUCAAGAAUUGAUGUGCAACCCAGCGUAGGGAAGAACUGCUUCUGGACUGCACCUGAGGCAGCACCACCGGCAACGGAGCCCCGCCACCUGCUGUACCCGUCCACCUUCUCUGGUUGACCUCCCUGGGGCCAGACAGCCCACUCAGAGUCCGUGCUCCCUCCUAUGGAGAUGAAGGAGCUGUGUCCACAGGCGUGCACACAGGGAGAACGCCGUGGGAACCUGCAGGCAGAGACUGGGGGUGCAUCUACCAGCCAAGGAACACCCAGGACUGCCAGCAGUACCAGGAAGUUGCAGAGCAACACGGGCAUCCUCCUUACCGCUCUCAGAAGAUUCCAGCCCUGCAGAUACCUGAACCUUCAGUUUCCAACCUCCAGACCUGGAAGACAGUAAAGCUCUGUUGUUG
This 1152-nucleotide long non-coding RNA is filed under the name Homo sapiens (human). RNAcentral's name for it is "HSALNT0300160". Lineage: Eukaryota; Metazoa; Chordata; Mammalia; Primates; Hominidae. The record is from RNAcentral.